This is an RNA transcript of Scomber scombrus (Atlantic mackerel), 965 nucleotides long. It is a transcript of the gene named serine and arginine rich splicing factor 7b, with no coding region annotated. The record is from RefSeq and is a predicted model, not a curated record. The transcript has 5 exons. NCBI's taxonomy places the organism in Eukaryota, Metazoa, Chordata, Actinopteri, Scombriformes, Scombridae.
AAAAGCCUCACAGGAAGUUAUAUUUGACGUGCUGGUUGUCGCUAAUUAACUUCCGCUAGCAGCUAGCAGCUAACGGCGGUGAAGAUGUCCCGGUCCGGUCGGUACGGAGGAGAGAGUAAGGUGUACGUGGGGAACCUUGGUACUGGUGCAGGUAAAGGUGAGCUGGAGCGAGCCUUCGGGUACUACGGUCCUCUCAGAACCGUCUGGAUCGCCAGGAACCCUCCAGGGUUCGCCUUCGUAGAGUUUGAAGAUCCUCGAGAUGCUGAUGAUGCUGUUAGAGGCUUAGACGGCAAGAGCAUCUGUGGGAGUCGUGUGCGGGUGGAGCUCUCUACAGGAAUGCCGCGGCGUUCUCGGUACGAACGGCCGCCGGCCCGUCGGCCGUUCGACCCGGACGAUAAAUGUUACGAGUGCGGAGAGAAAGGUCACUACGCCUACGACUGUCAUCGCUACGGCCGCCGCAGCCGCAGGAGCAGGUUCCAUCGUUUGAUUCAGAUCCUAAAAGCUUUCAUGACUAAAGCUGAACUGAACUGUAAAGGUCUGUGGCGGCUCAGCCAUACCAGCGCCACCUUGUUAAUUCGGCCUUCAAUUUUAAUGAGGAACAGACCCGCCUCGCUGCUAUCAAGUCUCAAUCAAGCAAUUUGGUGUCAGUUCGAUCAUCGUUAGAAUCUACUAGAUCAUCUAGAUCUGCUAGAACCGCGUCCAAAGAGGGUCGCCCUGCAGACCUGCAGGACCUGAAGGUUUAGUGGAUUCCAGUCUUUGUUCUUCUUCUGCAUGAGUAACGUUCACUGCCAGCUGUAGUCCUUCACUGUGAUCCUUCCUCCUCUGACUGUUCUCCUGGUUCUGGUCCAGGUCCAGGUCUCGGUCUAGGUCUCGAGGGAGGAGGUUCUCUCGCAGCCGCAGCCGAGGGAGAAGGUCCAGGUCUUCCCCAGAAGGUCUCGCUCUGCCACACCGAGGAGGUCCAGGUC